CCGGAGAACUAAAUCACAAAGUUUGGAGGAGAGUGAAUUUCAGUGGCUGGCUUGUGUUACCUUUUGCGAAGUGUAAAUAUGAUUCUACGAUUUCUGAAGACACCCAGCAAUGAGACAGCCCAGAGCCUAGGACAGAGUUUUGAACAUUCAGGGACUCACAUUCUGGUGGGCUGAAACAAAAAAGGUAACAGAUUGUGUUUGAAAACAAUUUAAGAGGGUGAUGCCCAGUUCAAACAGCCCAUGCUCCAUGUCUUAGAAUCCGAGCCUGCUUUUCCACAUUGCACAGAGCUAAACCGGCUGCAGGACCCUCUGUAAUUUUACCCUUCACUGGAAGUUGUAAUUAAGAUUAAAUGCUCAUUUAACCUCUGGAGGAUACACACUGUUCUCACAGUAUAUUACAGGCAACUUUAAUGAGUUCACAUCCCUGCCUGAAAUAUAAUUACGUUAAAACACUUAAAAAUGGAUUUAUUAGCAUGAAGCCCACUCAUGAGUCUUAACCAUCCUCCCUCUUCCUCUUUCUCAGAGCUUAAUUUAACAAGGCACUUUGAACAAUUUUUCAAACAGUGCAGAAUUUUGCAGACCCCCCCAUCUUUCCCCUUCCAAAUGUCACAGCCCGGGUUGUUUUUCGUUUUGAUUCCCCCCCCCCCCAGAUGGAUUUUUGCAUCUUUGCAAAAGGUAACUGCGCAAAAAUAAUAAAAGUCACCUUUUUGCAACUGCAGGACUUUGCCUUGAGCUCUCGGGAUCUUUCAGGCCUCGCUCUGUUUUCAUUGGCAACUGAAAAGCAAGGAUGGAGGACACAGAAUAUUUCACUGACAACCUUAAUUGCCACCAUUCAUCACCGCCGUUGCCCCGUCCUUUGGUUCGGAGGGUGGGAAUGGUUAAUUUGGGCACAUGCCAGGGGUGGACUGUGCCAGAGGCAGAACAGGCAAAGCAACAAACUUGCCUCUUAAAGGUAAAGGGACCCCUGACCAUGAGGUCCAGUCGUGGCCGACUCUGGGGUUGCGGCGCUCAUCUCGCUUUACUGGCCGAGGGAGCCAGCAUACAGCUUCCAGGUCAUGUGGCCAGCAUGACUAAGCCGCUUCUGGCGAACCAGAGCAGCGCACGGAAACACUGUUUACCUUCCCACCGGAGUGGUGCCUAUUGAUCUACUUGCACUUGACGUGCUUUCGAACUGCUAGGUUGGCAGGAGCAGGGACCGAGCAACGGGAGCUCACCCUGUCGUGGGGAUUCGAAAUGGCGACCUUCUGAUCAGCAAGUCCUAGGCUCUGUGGUUUAACCCACAGCGCCACCCGCGUCCCAUACUUGCCUCUUACCUUUGCACAAAAGGGAUGCAUUCCAUGAUAAGAAGCCAGAGGUUUCUCAUAUAUAUAUAUAAAAUUUUUAUUUAUAAUAAAUAAUAAUAAUAAUUUUAUUUAUAAUUUUCAUUUUACAACAAACAAAUAGCAAAAAACAACAACAAAACCCCCUCUUAAAAAUCAAGUUAUUACGUAUAGUGGAAAUUUGGUUCUUGAACGUCUUGGUACUCAAACAUUCCAGCUCCCAAACGCCAUAAAUCCAGAAGUAAGUAUUCAAGUUUUUGGACAUUUUUUGGAAGCCGAACGCCCAAUUGGUUGUGGGCUAUUGUUUCCGGAGCGGCUGUGCCAAUCGGAAGCCACACCUUGGUUUUGGAACAUUUCGGAAGUUGAACUGACUUCCAGAAUGGAUUACGUUCGAGAACGAAGGUACCACUAUAUCAUAUUUCGACUCCUCACCCCUUCUUUCUGCAGUUCCUUAUACAUAUAUAUAAUAUUUUUACUGCAUUUUCAAAUUGAACCUAUUUUUUAUUUAACACAUAUAAUCAGCUGUUGUUUAAUAUCACUGCAUGUCUUUACAUCAAUCCUGCCAAUGUCUUAAUCUGUUUGCAAGACUUUUGUAAAUACAGUGCUACCUCAGGAUGCGAACGGGAUCCGUUCCGGAGCCCCGUUCGCAUCCCGAAUGGAAUGCAAGAUGCGACAGCUCGUCUGCGCAUGCGUGGGCCGUGUUUCACCACUCCCGCGCAUGCGCGUGACAUCAUUUUGACCGUCUGCGCAUGCACAAGUGGCAAAACCCAGAAGUAAUGCACUCCGUUACUUCUGGGUUGCCGCAGAGCGCAACCCGAAAGUGCUCAACCUGAAGCGUAUUUAUCCUGAGGUAUGACUGUAGUCAAUAAACGAUUUCCUGUUCUUCUGGUAAGCUCUGUCAUUUCUGCAUAGUCCAAUAGUACCUGUUGCAAUUCCUCUUUCGUUGAGACCUUUUCUUCCUUCCAUCUUUGGGCAAAUCACAUUCGAGCGCUCAAAAGCCAGAGGUUUCAAUACACACCUGUGCGUGCCCCAUCUCUCCAGCCAGGCCGCCAAGAUGCGUAAGCACAAUUCAAUAGCUUGUUCCAGCCACAAAAACACACUCAAAGCAGUGUGUGUGUUUUUGUGGACCAGAGCCAAUGCAGUGCGCAGCCUGGAGUGCCCACUUGCCAGCACAAGGAGACGCUACAGGUGUGGGAGCCAACCUAUGGAGAAUCUCUACAGCUUAGGGGUGUUUGAGCGCACUGGGGAUUGUUUGAAGCAUCCUCUCGGGGAGAUAUUUUAUUCCAAUCAUACGGAAAGGUGAAGCGACAUCAUUUGCACCUCCUGAAACAAGUAUGUGAGCCGAAACAGAGCCAUCCUUUGAAAUGCACGCACGCCUGAAUUUUGCAGCACAGCUCUCCAGCCCGGGUCAUGUGUGCAAAAAAUGCAGCAGAUAGAGUAAAGUGUGCAUAAAAAUGUAUAUUGGUGUAUGGGGAAAUUGCUUUGCAAAAAUGUGUGGGUCAAGCAUAGUAUGUAUGUAUAUAUAUAGCAAAUAAAUGCUGAUGAAUUUUCAUGAGGGCUUUGUUAUUUUUAAUCAUUGCAAACCGAUGUGGAAAUGUGGGGAAAUGAGAGGAACUGAAAGCAACAGAUUACACAUGUUGAUCGUGCCCACUAUUAUUGCGGAUCACAAAAUUGGGAAAGGAGUACAACAAGGCUGUAUAUUGACUCCCUGCUUGUUUAACUUAUAUACAGAAUUCAUCAUACGAAAGGCUGGGCUGGAUGAAUCCCAAGCCGGAUUUAAGAUUGCCGGAAGAAAUAUCAACAACCUCAGAUAUGCAGAUGACACAACCUUGAUGGCAGAAAGUGAGGAGGAAUUAAAGAACCUUUUAAUGAGGGUGGAAGAGGAGAGCACAAAAUAUGGUCUGAAGCUCAACAUCAAAAAACCUAAGAUUAUGCCACUGGUCCCAUCACCUCCUGGCAAAUAGAAGGGGAAGAAAUGGAGGCAGUGAGAGAUUUUACUUUCUUGGGCUCCAUGAUCACUGCAGAUGGUGACAGCAGCCACGAAAUUAAAAGACACCUGCUUCUUGGGAGAAAGGCGAUGGCAAACCUGGACAGCAUCUUAAAAAGUAGAGACAUUGCCUUGCCAACAAAGGUCCGUAUAGUUAAAGCUAUGGUUUUCCCAGUAGUGAUGUAUGGAAAUGAGAGCUGGACCAUAAAGAAGGAUCAUUGCUGAAGAAUUGAUGCUUUUGAAUUAUGGUGCUGGAGGAGACUCUUGAGAGUCCCAUGGAUUGCAAGAAGAUCAAACGAAUCCAUUCUUAAGAAAAUCAGCCCUGAGUGCUCACUUGAAGGACAGAUCCUGAAGCCGAGGCUCCAAUACUUUGGCCACCUCAUGAGAAGAGAAGACUCCCUGGAAAAGACCCUGAUGUUGGGAAAGAUGGAGGGCACAAGAGAAGGGGACGACAGAGGACGAGAUGGUUGGACAGUGUUCUCAAAGCUACCAGUAUGAGUUUGACCAAACUGUGGGAGGCUGUGGAAGACAGGAGUGCCUGGCGUGCUCUGGUCCAUGGGGUCACGAAGAGUCGGACACGACUAAACGACUAAACAGCAACAAAGCAUUUACCAGCUUCUGACCAGUCGAGGGUCGACUGGGGCUGAGGAACCUGCAGCCCCCCAGAGGCUGGACUACAACUCCCCUCAUCCCUGACCACUGCCCAGGCUUGUGCCCUGGGGAGGUCAGUUUGGUUCUGCGAACACAGUGGUUUGACUUUACUCCCAGAGGUGCACUCCAUUUUCUCUCAAGACUGACAGAUGCCAACCACGACUUGGCUGCUGUGGGUCCUGGAAACCGAAGUUUGUUAAGGGUGCUGAGAGCUAUUAGGAGAUCCCUGUUUCCCCUCCCAGAGCUACAAUGCUCAGAGUGGUUUAGCAACCAACUCCUCUUCCUGAGAAACUGAGGGAAUGUUAACUCUAUUUAUAAAACUGUUCCCUUCCCUUGAAGUAGCAUUUCAUUCCCCGCACCCCUCUCUUUUUAGAAAAAGCGAACUUCUGGCAUACGAGACUUUUGUCCAGCAGAUGGCAAGAGGUGAACAGGCCUCCUUUGCCUGCCACUUCUUACAAAACCAUGUGUCUGUGUGUGUUUCUUUGGAAGCUGAGUAAUACCCAAGUAUCUAAUUAUGGGAACUUUUGCAAAGCACUGCAGAUAAAAGCAGCGCUUCCUCGGAAGACAAGCCCCAGAAAUAAGCAAAUCGAUUCAGAUGGGCUGCUUCUCUGUUUCCCAAGCUGGGGGGGGGGGCAGUGAGAGGGCAAAGCCACAGGAGGAAAUCUCUGCCGCAUCGCUCAUCGCGCUCGCUUUGCAUAUGUCUGCCGUGAUGACUGCACAGGCCGUCGCUCGGCUGGGCCAAAAAUGUGUGGCAAAGGGGAUUUGCAACUGCCGGCGCUCCCCACAUUUGUAUGUGGUGCAACAGCUGCAGCUGUGUGCUUGUGCAUGUGUGCACAACCUGCUUGCCUGCUUCAUUGGGGCACAACACACACAAGAGUAGAAUAACAGAAUCAUAGAAUCAUAGACUUGGAAGGGACCCCAGGGGUCAUCUAGCUGAACCCCCUGCAAUCCAGGAAUUUUUUGCCCAAUGUGGGGCUCGAACCCACGACCCUGAGAUUAAGAAACUCGUGUAAUAAUAAUAAUAAUAAUUUAUUAUUUAUAUCCCGCCCAUCUGGCUGAGUUUCCCCAGCUACUCUGGGCGGCUUCCAAUCGAGUGUUAAAAACAAUGCAGCAUUAAAUACUAAAAACUUCCCUGAACAGGGCUGCCUUCAGAUGCCUUUUAAAGAUAAGAUAGCUGCUUAUUUCCUUCACAUUUGAAGGGAGGGCGUUCCACAGGGAGGGUGCCACUACCGAGAAGGCCCUCUGUCUGGUUCCCUGUAAUCUCAUUUCUCGCAGUGAGGGAACUGCCAGAAGGCCCUCAGCGCUGGAUCUCAGUGUCCGGGCUGAACAAUGGGGGUGGAGACGCGCCUUCAGGUAUACUGGACCGAGGCCGUUUAGGGCUUUAAAGGUCAGCACCAACACUUUGAAUGGUGCUCGGAAACGUACUGGGAGCCAAUGCAGAUCUCUCAGGACCGGUGUUAUGUGGUCCCGGCGGCCACUCCUAGUCACCAGUCUAGCUGCCACAUUCUGGAUUAAUUGCAGUUUCUGGGUCACCUUCAAAGGUAGCCCCACGUAGAGCGCAUUGCAGUAGUCCAAGCGGGAGAUAACUAGAGCAUGCACCACUCUGGCGAGACAGUCCGCAGGCAGGUAGGGUCUCAGCCUGCAUACCAGAUGGAGCUGGUAAACAGCUGCCCUGGACACAGAAUUGACCUACACCUCCAUGGACAGUUGUGAGUCCAAAAUGACCCCCAGGCUGCGCACCUGGUCCUUCAGGGGCACAGUUACCCCAUGCAGGACCAGGGAGUCCUCAAUACCAGCCCACCCCCUGUCCCCCAAAACUGUCUUGUACUUCUCUAACAAUUUGAGCCAUGUUAGUAUUGAGCUCUUCCUGUCGAAUCUGCAUCGGUUUAGGGCAGAGUGGGUUUUGCUUCCGCCCAGGCAGAGAGUUCCAAAAACAGGCUAAAGUAUGGUUGUGUAGGGCUGCCAUACACCCAGAAUCUUCCGGAGAUAUCUGGAAUUCAUCCACCAGAAACAGCGUCCGGGUGGAAUUUCCACAAACCUGUUAAAAUAUCUGGGGAAACCAGGGUGUAUGGCAACCCAAGUUGGAAGUGUUGCUCUUUUUUUUUUGGCGAAUUUGCUAAAAAAUAGCUCAAAAACCAACUUGGGUGGGAAGGGGGAGGGAGAGAGAGAAAGCUCAACAACUUUAGUGUCCAGAUUUUCACUUUUUGAAAUAUGGCAACCCUAUGGCUGUGUGUAGGGACGUGGGUGGCGCUGUGGGUUAAACCACAGAGCCUAGGACUUGCCAAACAGAAGGUUGGCAGUUUGAAUCCCCGUGACGUGGUGAGCUCCCGUUGCUCGGUCCGUGCUCCUGCCAACCUAGCAGUUCGAAAGCAUGUCAAAGUGCAAGUAGAUAAACAGGUACCGCUCAGGCGGGAAGGUAAACGGUGUUUCCGUGCGCUGCUCUGGUUCACCAGAAGCGGCUUAGUCAUGCUGGCCACAUGGCCCAGAAGCUGUACGCCGGUUCCCUCGGCUAAUAAAGCGAGAUGAGCGCCGCAACCCCAGAGUCUGCCACGACUGGACCUAAUGGUCAGGGGUCCCUUUACCUUUUAUGGGCAACUUGCGACCCAGUGAAGGUGCCUGGGUGCCAGGAUGGUGCUCGAUAUCUCCGCCAACCGGGGAUCCUUGGACCUUGACUGUUUUCACCCGCCAGCAACACAUCCUGUAGAAUUCUAUCAGCGAUAUUUUAUCUGAGCCAUCAGAACGAAUAUUGGGAACCAAAAAGUCGUAUUGAAAAAUACAACUCUUGAGCCACCAGGCCCCAAAAUGGCAGCCAGGCAUUCAGUUUUGGCGACUAUAACCCUGGUUUAAGGAGCCGUUUGGCGCCUAGCUUGCAUAUCUCAGUUUCUAACACUGCUUAACCCUACCAGCCCCAAUGGCUAUUGGCUGCCAUCACUUUGCAGUCUUAUUUUAUUUUAUUUUAUUUAUUACAAUAGUAUACCAGCACCCUUAACAAACGGCCAUUCCCAGCAUUCUUUGGGGGGAAUUCAUGACUGUUAAAAGUGAUGUAAGAGUGAUUUAAAUGAGUGUUAUGAUGUUAUCUCAGGAUACCCAACAGAGACCUAGACUUUCCUUUGAGCUGUUUUAACCCCAAGCAACUGCAUCAACAGAACAUGAACAAGUUGUUCCCGUCUCUGUCUCUACUGAGAAAUUGGGAGUUGGGAGGAAUCAGGGACCCCUCUCGGCGGUCCAUGGGCAGAGCUGAUAUUCUGCAGUUUCAUAUGCGUGUGGUUCAAUUUCCCCGAAAUCACCUUUUUCAGAAAAAGUCAGAAACCACAGUUUCAAUCUCUCAAGAGGAUCAGAAACCAAGUUCAGGAAACAGCUUUGAUGGCAAGAAUCACUGGAAGUAGAGAUAUUUAUUAAGCAG
This 7360-nucleotide long non-coding RNA is filed under the name Podarcis lilfordi (Lilford's wall lizard). The record is from RNAcentral. Lineage: Eukaryota; Metazoa; Chordata; Lepidosauria; Squamata; Lacertidae.